Eriocheir sinensis (Chinese mitten crab) is the source of this 678-nucleotide long non-coding RNA. RefSeq lists it as uncharacterized. The record is from RefSeq and is a predicted model, not a curated record. The transcript is spliced from 3 exons. NCBI's taxonomy places the organism in Eukaryota, Metazoa, Arthropoda, Malacostraca, Decapoda, Varunidae.
ACUGUGACAGCGCGGCGCGGCCGGAUGCAUGAUCAUGCGUCAUGCAUGAGCCAUGCAUGAGGGACUCAGUUGCCACUUGCCAGUGUGGACGCUGGACGCUUGUUCAUGAGCUCAUUUUGCUGCUGCAUUACUUCAGAACAGUUCUACAGCCAGCUCCGCCAAGAAGACAAGCCUCAGCUCAGUGCAGUGUCUUCACGUAAUUUCCCAAAUUCCCAUGUAAACACUGCCGGGGAGUUGACGCACACGUUGUGGUCCACCUGUUGAGCCAAGGCUGAGUGGGAGCUGAGAGAAAAUGACAGAAGCAGAUUUUAUCACCCUGGUUCUUAAGGUCAUCUGCAUCUACUUCAUAUAUCGGUACCUGCGGGAGUGUCUCUCCAAUUACAGACAACCUACACCACCUGAUGGCCCGUCCCGUAUCUGCUCAACUUUCUACAACUUCAAAGGGAUCGUAGAUGAAAGUGAAGUUGUGAAAAUAAAGCAAGGCAUCCAUGAGCUAGACCUUCAUACGUUGAGGGUCUUGGAAGCAAUACGAGUGACGCAAAUGUUCCUGAAACAGUCGCGAGGUCGCUGUUGUUGUGUGCGAAUAAUAACAGGGCGUGGCCUGCACAGCCCUGACGGCAUACCCAAGAUCAAGCCAGAGGUUCAAAAGUUAUUGGGUAACAGAGGCUACAAGUUCAA